This 446-nucleotide ribosomal RNA is filed under the name uncultured bacterium. RNAcentral describes it as "bacterial SSU rRNA". It matches the Rfam family "Bacterial small subunit ribosomal RNA", at positions 8 to 488 of the family's 1533-position model. The record is from RNAcentral.
AGAGUUUGAUCCUGGCUCAGAAUCAACGUUGGCGGCGCGCUUAACACAUGCAAGUCGAACGAGAAAGUGGAGCAAUCCAUGAGUACAGUGGCGUACGGGUGAGUAACACGUGGGUAUCUACCUCUUAGUGGGGAAUAACCCUGGGAAACCGGGGCUAAUACCGCAUAAGCCUGAAAGGGGAAAGUCGAAAGACGCUGAGAGAGGAGCCCGCGGCUGAUUAGCUAGUUGGUGGGGUAAAGGCUCACCAAGGCAAAGAUCGGUAGCCGGCCUGAGAGGGCACACGGCCACACUGGCACUGAAACACGGGCCAGACUCCUACGGGAGGCAGCAGUGGGGAAUCUUGCACAAUGGGGGAAACCCUGAUGCAGCGACGCCGCGUGAGCGAUGAAGCCCUUCGGGGUGUAAAGCUCUUUCGACGGGAACGAUAAUGACGGUACCCGAGAAGA